UAUAAAGAGAAGGAGAAAGAGAAGAAGGAGGAGGAGGAGGAGAUCUCAAGAUGACUUCACGAUCGAACAAAAUAUUAGAGCAGCCAGGUUUGUGUAGCAGGCUAAGGUCAGGAGUGUAAAACAGAGCGGGAAUAUGCAGUAGGGCUGUGCAGAGGGUGGCAACUUGCAGAACAAAGAUGAAGGCAGGAAUCUUACAAGCUAUGUGGAGUGUAGGGGCGGUGGUCUUGCUCUAAGUGCAGUGGCGGGAGGGUAAUGUAGUGAGGUGAGGGUGGGCCGUGAAGAAAACUAUCCCUUCCGAAGCUGGUAGUAGGUAUACAUGUCGGCCAUGGUCAGCCAAAGUGGUGAAAGCUCUUGUCAUUUUGUCGAACACAUGGUGAGGCCCUUUAGACUUCCACAAAAUUUUAGAGCCGAUUUUCACAAAGUUUGUACCACACGUUGGCCUUAAGUUUAUAUUCCUAGCAUCAAACUUCAACAUUGGGAUCUCCAAGAGCUUGAGGAAGAUGACGAUGAUAACGGAAAAGUGUUUCCUUUAAGGGGUCUAUCCACUAAGGAAGGAGCAGCUACUACAGCAUCUGUUGAAGGAAGGAGCAACUACUGAAUGGGUUGAUCAAACAAAGGAGCAGCCACUGAGGAUCAUGUCGAAGGAAGGAGUACCCAUUGAAGAUCUUUAUCGUGGAAGGCUCAUCCAUUGAAAUUUUAUUUGGAGCUCCCCUACCACCACCCACAGCAGCCAAGGAAGUGGUGAAGGUGCAGACUAAGGGGGUUACGAUGUUGUUGUGGUUGUGAAACCAUGGGUUCAUCAGUCCAAGCAACUCCUCAUCUUCACACCUUCCACUAAUUGAAGACAUGCUUUAUUUGUCUCUGGUGUAAUCUGGGAUUGACUUCUUUUGUUAAAGAUGUUUGAGUUUGGUUCUAA
Macadamia integrifolia is the source of this 916-nucleotide long non-coding RNA. RefSeq lists it as uncharacterized. The record is from RefSeq and is a predicted model, not a curated record. NCBI's taxonomy places the organism in Eukaryota, Viridiplantae, Streptophyta, Magnoliopsida, Proteales, Proteaceae. The transcript is spliced from 3 exons.